CGGGAUGUAGCGCAGUUGGUAGCGUACCACGUUCGGGACGUGGGGGUCGCUGGUUCGAAUCCAGUCAUCCCGACCA
RNAcentral lists this transfer RNA (76 nucleotides) under Mangrovibacterium sp. RNAcentral describes it as "tRNA-Pro". It matches the Rfam family "tRNA". Rfam says of the family: Transfer RNA (tRNA) molecules are approximately 80 nucleotides in length. Their secondary structure includes four short double-helical elements and three loops (D, anti-codon, and T loops). The record is from RNAcentral. RNAcentral also lists the same sequence under 1 other name. Lineage: Bacteria; Pseudomonadati; Bacteroidota; Bacteroidia; Marinilabiliales; Prolixibacteraceae.